Ribosomal RNA from Lepisosteus oculatus (spotted gar), 119 nucleotides. The record is from Ensembl. NCBI's taxonomy places the organism in Eukaryota, Metazoa, Chordata, Actinopteri, Semionotiformes, Lepisosteidae.
GCCGGAAGCCACAUCACCCUGCAACUCACAACUGGCAACCCACUGAAACUAAGCAGGUGUGAGCCUGGUAAGUACCUGGAUGGGAGACCUCCUGGGAAAAACUAAGGUUGCUGCUGGAA